CUCUACAUCAUGCCAUAUGUUGUUAGCAGAAGUAGGAACUUUGAUUCCGCUUUUUAAAGUCCAGAAGUAUGUAUGUUUUGGCCAAAUCCGUGACUCAGUCGAUGUUGACAUAAAGAAGUGGUGAGCAGAAACACCCCCAAUUUGGCCUUAUAAAAUCUUCAGCUGUCCUUCACGUUGGUACUCGAGCCUCAGUUCGACAUCUAUUGCCACAGUGGUAAGUUUAACUUGUGUGUUUUUAAAAUGAGUUGAUUUAUUGUUUUGAACCCAUUUAAUGAACCUUAAACUCUAUUGUGAAUGCAACGAUUAAAAAAAAUCUUGUUUUCUUCAGAGAACAUAUCUGUGUCUGGCUUUUCUGCUGUGUGCGCUGCUGCCACUGGCAAAUGGCACGUGCGUUUCACUUCAAGUGGAAGAGGGUGUAACACAGUGCCUGGAUUGGCUUGACGGCCAGUGGCACCCGGUAGGUUCGUCUUGGAGAAACAGUCUGUGCAUGGAAUGUACCUGCGAAGUUUGUUGCCCU
Long non-coding RNA from Syngnathus acus (greater pipefish), 517 nucleotides. RefSeq lists it as uncharacterized. The record is from RefSeq and is a predicted model, not a curated record. The transcript is spliced from 3 exons. NCBI's taxonomy places the organism in Eukaryota, Metazoa, Chordata, Actinopteri, Syngnathiformes, Syngnathidae.